AGGAGACGUUAGGGUUUUGAAGGUUAGCUAAAAGAGCUGCAUCUUCUCCGUCUCUCUGAUUACUUUAUUGUUCUUACAUCUGUGUAAACUGUUUUAAAACGACUCGUCGUUGAAUAAUCAGGAAAAGUUGAUGCCAAAGAGACUGUUGACGGGUCUAUAACCUUACAGGAUCAAAGUUUGGAAGUUGUUGAGGAUUAAAGCUUUUGGAGAGAGCCAAUGAUGCCCAGAUGACCUUUGACUUCAGGUGGCAAACUUCAGCCUGCAAUGUGAGUUUUGAGAAUAUGGACUACACUAUCCUCGCAAAGAAUUGCAAGGGACCUUGAUAGCCCGUCAAGAAUUGUUGUGAUGCUUUAAGGCAAUUUGCUUGCCCUUAUGUUGAUGCCUUAAACGACAGAAUAAAUUACUAUGCAGAAGCUAUGUUCAGCUACAUCAACAUCUAUGGAAAAUAUCCUCCUGGAUUGUUUGCCAAUGAGUGCAGAGAAGGUCAACAAGGUCUCAACUGCGAAUCAGUGCAAAAUUCUUGCAGCUAUUCAUUCCUCAUCCCUGAUGCUCUCUGUUGGGCUCAUAGGUAACAUAUACCCGUGGUCUAGACAACAUAUACAUCUUCUUCCAUUGUUAAAAUACGUCUCUCCACAAUGUGUGCUAGAGUUUGUAUUCUUCUUCUUCUUAUUAUAGUUUGCCUCAACGGUAUAAUUUUCAUAAUCUAUUUCUUUUUGCAUCACUAGAUAGAAUACAAUAGAUUAUGACAUUGAGACUGUUGUAACAGGUGCACAAAUUUAGGACACACACAGCGCACAAUAUGUAGGGAAGAAAAAAAAAACAAAAAUAAGAUUUACAUGAUUCGACUAUGAAUCCUCUUUAGAUAAAAAGAUCUUGUAAAUUAUUGAAAAGACCGGUAUGUAAGCAUUGUGUGGAAAGACACCACUGGAUAAAAAGCAGGUGGUGUUGAGCUAUGAUACUGUGAUUCUAGUUGUUCACUUGUCCCCUACUAUAAUUGAAGAG
Long non-coding RNA from Hevea brasiliensis (rubber tree), 1002 nucleotides. RefSeq lists it as uncharacterized. Lineage: Eukaryota; Viridiplantae; Streptophyta; Magnoliopsida; Malpighiales; Euphorbiaceae. The record is from RefSeq and is a predicted model, not a curated record. The transcript is spliced from 3 exons.